CCUACGUGAGGCAGCAGUGAGGAAUAUUGGUCAAUGGGCGCGAGCCUGAACCAGCCAAGUAGCGUGAAGGAUGACUGCCCUAUGGGUUGUAAACUUCUUUUAUAAAGGAAUAAAGUGAGGCACGUGUGCCUUUUUGUAUGUACUUUAUGAAUAAGGAUCGGCUAACUCCGUGCCAGCAGCCGCGGUAAUACGGAGGAUCCGAGCGUUAUCCGGAUUUAUUGGGUUUAAAGGGAGCGUAGAUGGGUUGUUAAGUCAGUUGUGAAAGUUUGCGGCUCAACCGUAAAAUUGCAAUUGAUACUGGCAGUCUUGAGUACAGUUGAGGUAGGCGGAAUUCGUGGUGUAGCGGUGAAAUGCUUAGAUAUCACGAAGAACUCCGAUUGCGAAGGCAGCUUACUAAACUGCCACUGACAUUGAUGCUCGAAAGUGUGGGUAUCAAACAGGAUUAGAUACCCUAGUAGUC
This 460-nucleotide ribosomal RNA is filed under the name uncultured bacterium. Its description in RNAcentral is "partial 16S ribosomal RNA". It matches the Rfam family "Bacterial small subunit ribosomal RNA", at positions 338 to 795 of the family's 1533-position model. The record is from RNAcentral.